Polistes canadensis is the source of this 964-nucleotide long non-coding RNA. RefSeq lists it as uncharacterized. The transcript has 3 exons. The record is from RefSeq and is a predicted model, not a curated record. NCBI's taxonomy places the organism in Eukaryota, Metazoa, Arthropoda, Insecta, Hymenoptera, Vespidae.
GUGUAUCAAAGUGAAAAGCGCUCAUUUGUUAGCUGCGAGAGAUAAAACUUGUGGUUGUAUGCCUAUCCUGAGGACUAAGAAAAAGGAAGAUUAAAUUUCAGGAGGACGAAAGCUGUUUGACCUUUUGUGACUCAAGCUUGACGACACUUUAACAAAUUCACGGGUCGUCGUAUCGUAACGAAGUCGGUUACUCUAUCCUUUAGACAUUUUUUUCGUGAGCGUUGGAUUAUGAUCGGGAAAAAGGUUAUAUCUCAUAAGCUCGACAAGUCUUCAUCAUCCUGGCAACGCAAAUUGAGCCUCCGGGGUGUCGUCAAGGUGAAAAUUGGAGAAUACCGCAAAGAUGGCUCCUCAUUUCGGGGAUAUAUUUAGCAAAGUCAACUAUAAUUUAUCUUAUCCUAUUAUAUUUUCCAUAACAACAAGAUGGAAUACUUUCGAUUGAAGUAACAACAAUGUUUCAUGUUAAUUAUGAUGUAACGUAUCCUGCUUUGUUGUUAGGAGAACCGUUGAUCGUAAGACUAUGAAUUAUUUCUUGUUGGGAAAUAUUACAUAAGCAACUUCAUCAGUGGCGCGAAAUCGUAGAUUCUAUUACUUUUAUUUUCUAAAUAUAUCUAUAAUGCUUAGUCGCAAUCUCAUUGAAUCAAUUUCAUUGUUUAUUGGUUCCAAUAAAUCCUACGAAUUAACUUACUUAUAGAUUACUUAAGAUACUUGAUAUUGUUAUUUUUUGGGUACAAAUAUUUUACACGGUUACUCAAUGCCAAAAUACUAAAAAUAGCGGUGUUGAAACAUUUUUUAUUACUAACACAAAACCGAAAUAUAUUCCCGAAAAUUAACAUAAUGACGAAAAUGUUUCAGCUAUUUUUAUUGUAGACAUAGUAGGUGGUUCUGUUAAUCAAUAGUAAAAAAUAAUAAAAAAAUAUUUACCAACAAUCAAGUAAUAAAUUCACAUUUUUGUAAGUCUUGAUAA